GAGCGAAUCGAUGGGAGCUUGCUCCCUGAGAUUAGCGGCGGACGGGUGAGUAACACGUGGGCAACCUGCCUAUAAGACUGGGAUAACUUCGGGAAACCGGAGCUAAUACCGGAUACGUUCUUUUCUCGCAUGAGAGAAGAUGGAAAGACGGUUUACGCUGUCACUUAUAGAUGGGCCCGCGGCGCAUUAGCUAGUUGGUGAGGUAAUGGCUCACCAAGGCGACGAUGCGUAGCCGACCUGAGAGGGUGAUCGGCCACACUGGGACUGAGACACGGCCCAGACUCCUACGGGAGGCAGCAGUAGGGAAUCUUCCGCAAUGGACGAAAGUCUGACGGAGCAACGCCGCGUGAACGAAGAAGGCCUUCGGGUCGUAAAGUUCUGUUGUUAGGGAAGAACAAGUACCAGAGUAACUGCUGGUACCUUGACGGUACCUAACCAGAAAGCCACGGCUAACUACGUGCCAGCAGCCGCGGUAAUACGUAGGUGGCAAGCGUUGUCCGGAAUUAUUGGGCGUAAAGCGCGCGCAGGUGGUUCCUUAAGUCUGAUGUGAAAGCCCACGGCUCAACCGUGGAGGGUCAUUGGAAACUGGGGAACUUGAGUGCAGAA
Molecule: ribosomal RNA, 606 nt
Filed under: Bacillus sp. 13455
Lineage: Bacteria; Bacillati; Bacillota; Bacilli; Caryophanales; Bacillaceae
Description: bacterial SSU rRNA
Rfam family: Bacterial small subunit ribosomal RNA
Source: RNAcentral